AACCAUCGAGUCUUUGAACGCAAGUUGCGCCCGAAGCCAUUAGGCCGAGGGCACGCCUGCCUGGGUGUCA
This 70-nucleotide ribosomal RNA is filed under the name Cajanus cajan (pigeon pea). RNAcentral describes it as "5.8S ribosomal RNA". It matches the Rfam family "5.8S ribosomal RNA", at positions 87 to 154 of the family's 154-position model. From Rfam's summary of the family: 5.8S ribosomal RNA (5.8S rRNA) is a component of the large subunit of the eukaryotic ribosome. It is transcribed by RNA polymerase I as part of the 45S precursor that also contains 18S and 28S rRNA. Lineage: Eukaryota; Viridiplantae; Streptophyta; Magnoliopsida; Fabales; Fabaceae. The record is from Rfam by way of RNAcentral.